CGUUAAGUCAGAUGUGAAAGACCCGGGGCGUUAACCUCGGAAUUGCAUUUGUAAACUAGGCAGGCGUAGAGUCUUGUAGAGGGGGGUAGGAAGUUUACAGGUGUAGCGGUGAAAUAGCGUAGAGAUCUGAAGGAAUACCAGUGGCGAAGGCGGCCCCCUCGGACAAAGACUGACGCUCAGAUGCGAAAGCGUGGGGAGCAAACAGGAUUAGAUACCCUGGUAG
RNAcentral lists this ribosomal RNA (223 nucleotides) under uncultured bacterium. RNAcentral describes it as "partial 16S ribosomal RNA". It matches the Rfam family "Bacterial small subunit ribosomal RNA", at positions 581 to 793 of the family's 1533-position model. The record is from RNAcentral.